RNAcentral lists this ribosomal RNA (1339 nucleotides) under uncultured fungus. RNAcentral's name for it is "eukaryotic LSU rRNA". The stretch from base 708 to 1339 matches the Rfam family "Eukaryotic large subunit ribosomal RNA", at positions 1 to 649 of the family's 3401-position model. The record is from RNAcentral. Lineage: Eukaryota; Fungi.
AAGUCGUAACAAGGUUUCCGUAGGUGAACCUGCGGAAGGAUCAUUAUGCAUAUAUGGGACAAGAAAUUGUUCCCUGACCCAAAUCCUCCCUGCGUACCAAUCAAUGUUGCUUUCCCAGGUGGUUGGCCCCGGCAGCCACCCAAUACUGCCUGCUAGGCGAGUUAACCAGUGGUCUGAAUAUCACUUGGAGAACUCGAUCCUGUCCUGACAGAGUGAGCUCAAUAUGUCGGUGAGUUCAAUUUGUACCUGUCAGGAUGGGCUAUGCGGGUACCUGGGAGAGGGCUCAUCCAAAGCGAAUAAUUGAAUCAGCUGUCUGAGUUGGCCCAGUGCCGUAUUCUUUGAAUAAGCUAAAACUUUCAACAACGGAUCUCUUGGCUCUCGCAUCGAUGAAGAACGCAGCGAAAUGCGAUAAGUAAUGUGAAUUGCAGAAUUCAGUGAAUCAUCGAAUCUUUGAACGCACAUUGCGCCCCUUGGUAUUCCUUGGGGGCAUGCCUGUUCGAGCGUCACUGCAAACCCCCUCAUAGAAAUUAUGGUAUUGAUGGAAGUGAACUAAGCCUACCAAUUUGCUUANGUUANCCCAUCGAAAUGNAUANGCAGGACAAUCAACCUCCGCAAUGGACNUAGUAGCUGNUUUGAAGACAUGAAUCAGUCCUUUGCUAGGUUCUGGCCUGGCCUCCAUGGACCUCCAUCCAAAAUGAACUCUGGGUUGACCUCGGAUCAGGUAGGGAUACCCGCUGAACUUAAGCAUAUCAAUAAGCGGAGGAAAAGAAACCANCAGGGAUUGCCCUAGUAACGGCGAGUGAAGCGGCAAAAGCUCAAAUUUGAAAUCUGGCGCCUCUGGUGUCCGAGUUGUAAUUNNGAGAGGUNUCUUCCGGAGGGGUCCAGCCUAUGUUCCUNGGAACAGGACAUCACAGAGGGUGAGAAUCCCGUUCGUGGCUGGAUGUACCCUUUAGUAGGUAGUGCCUUCUACGAGUCGAGUUGUUUGGGAAUGCAGCUCAAAAUGGGUGGUAAAUUUCAUCUAAAGCUAAAUAUUGGCGAGAGACCGAUAGCGCACAAGUAGAGUGAUCGAAAGAUGAAAAGCACUUUGAAAAUAGGGUCAAACAGUACGUGAAAUUGUUGAAAGGGAAGCGCUUGAGACCAGACUCAGCCUUGGGCAAACAACUUCCCUUUUGGGUGGUGCACUUGCCCUUGGCUGGGCCAGCAUCAGUUAGGACGGUGGAAUAAAGGCUCGGGGAAUGUGACUCCGCUCAGGAGUGUUAUAGCCUCGGGUGCCAUCCCGCCUGUCCUGACUGUGGACCGCGCUUCGGCUAGGAUGCUGGCGUAAUGGUCUUUAGCGGCC